UUUUUUGAGAGUUUGAUCCUGGCUCAGGAUUAACGCUAGCGGUAUGCCUAAUACACGCAAGUCGAGCGAAAGCAGCAAUGCUUUAGCGGCAAACGGGUGAGUAAUACGUAUCUAAUCUACCCUUUAGAAAGGAACAACAGAUCGAAAGAUUUGCUAAUACCUUAUAAUAUACUAAUUCGCAUGAAAUGGUGUUUAAAGUUCCAUUUGGAACGCUUUAGGAUGAGGGUGCGGCUUAUCAGAUAGUUGGUGAGGUAAUGGCCCACCAAGUCUAUGACGAGUAGCUAUGCUGAGAGGUAGAAUAGCCACAAGGGGACUGAGACACGGCCCCUACUCCUACGGGAGGCAGCAGUAGG
This 353-nucleotide ribosomal RNA is filed under the name Mycoplasma sp. RNAcentral's name for it is "bacterial SSU rRNA". It matches the Rfam family "Bacterial small subunit ribosomal RNA", at positions 1 to 358 of the family's 1533-position model. The record is from RNAcentral. Lineage: Bacteria; Bacillati; Mycoplasmatota; Mollicutes; Mycoplasmatales; Mycoplasmataceae.